GAUGAAGAACGUAGCGAAAUGCGAUAAGUAAUGUGAAUUGCAGAAUUCAGUGAAUCAUCGAAUCUUUGAACGCACAUUGCGCCCGCCAGUAUUCUGGCGGGCAUGCCUGUUCGAGCGUCAUUACAACCCUCAGGCCCCCGGGCCUGGUGUUGGGAUCGGCGGAGCCCCCCGUGGGCACACGCCGUCCCCCAAAUACAGUGGCGGUCCCGCCGCAGCUUCCAUCGCGUAGUAGCUAACACCUCGCGACUGGAGAGCGGCGCGGCCACGCCGUAAAACACCCAACUCUUCUGAAGUUGACCUCGAAUCAGGUAGGAAUACCCGCUGAACUUAAGCAUAUCAAUAAGCGGAGGA
RNAcentral lists this unclassified non-coding RNA (351 nucleotides) under soil metagenome. RNAcentral describes it as "partial contains 5.8S ribosomal RNA, internal transcribed spacer 2, and large subunit ribosomal RNA". The stretch from base 1 to 120 matches the Rfam family "5.8S ribosomal RNA", at positions 35 to 154 of the family's 154-position model. The record is from RNAcentral.